This 253-nucleotide ribosomal RNA is filed under the name uncultured bacterium. RNAcentral's name for it is "partial 16S ribosomal RNA". It matches the Rfam family "Bacterial small subunit ribosomal RNA", at positions 524 to 776 of the family's 1533-position model. The record is from RNAcentral.
UACGAAGGGUGCGAGCGUUAUUCGGAAUCACUGGGCGUAAAGGGUGCGUAGACGGUAUGUUAAGUUUGUCGUUAAAGACUCUGGCCUAACCAGAGGGUUGCGAUGAAAACUGGCAAGCUAGAGGGUGAGAGAGAGAAGUGGAAUUCCCGGAGUAGCGGUAAAAUGCGUGGAUCUCGGGAGGAACACCAAUGGCGAAGGCAGCUUCUUGGCUCAUUCCUGACGUUGAGGCACGAAAGCGUGGGGAGCGAACAGG